AACAUCGCGCACCUGCGGGAACCUGCGGAAGGAUCAUUAAUGAUUGGUGGCUGUUGCUGACUAGUGUUUCUAGUAUGUGCACGCCACACCUUCAAUCCCACUUACACCUGUGCGCCUUCUGUAAUAGAUCUAUGUGGAUACGGAGAUAUGAAAGUUUGCGCUCUCGUACUCUGUUGAAGCAGUCUACUACGUUUUUUUACACACACACAAUAGUCAUUGAAUGUAUUUUUUAUUCUUAUG
RNAcentral lists this unclassified non-coding RNA (240 nucleotides) under soil metagenome. RNAcentral describes it as "partial contains 5.8S ribosomal RNA, internal transcribed spacer 2, and large subunit ribosomal RNA". The record is from RNAcentral.